RNAcentral lists this ribosomal RNA (851 nucleotides) under uncultured bacterium. RNAcentral's name for it is "bacterial SSU rRNA". It matches the Rfam family "Bacterial small subunit ribosomal RNA", at positions 51 to 883 of the family's 1533-position model. The record is from RNAcentral.
CUAUGUGCAGUCGAGCGACUGAUUAGAAGCUUGCUUCUAAGACGUUAGCGGCGGACGGGUGAGUAACACGUGGGCAACCUGCCUGUAAGACUGGGAUAACUUCAGGAAACCGAAGCUAAUACCGGAUAGGAUCUUCUCCUUCAUGGGAGAUGAUUGAAAGAUGGUUUCGGCUAUCACUUACAGAUGGGCCCGCGGUGCAUUAGCUAGUUGGUGAGGUAACGGCUCACCAAGGCAACGAUGCAUAGCCGACCUGAGAGGGUGAUCGGCCACACUGGGACUGAGACACGGCCCAGACUCCUACGGGAGGCAGCAGUAGGGAAUCUUCCGCAAUGGACGAAAGUCUGACGGAGCAACGCCGCGUGAGUGAUGAAGGCUUUCGGGUCGUAAAACUCUGUUGUUAGGGAAGAACAAGUACGAGAGUAACUGCUCGUACCUUGACGGUACCUAACCAGAAAGCCACGGCUAACUACGUGCCAGCAGCCGCGGUAAUACGUAGGUGGCAAGCGUUAUCCGGAAUUAUUGGGCGUAAAGCGCGCGCAGGCGGUUUCUUAAGUCUGAUGUGAAAGCCCACGGCUCAACCGUGGAGGGUCAUUGGAAACUGGGGAACUUGAGUGCAGAUGAGAAAAGCGGAAUUCCACGUGUAGCGGUGAAAUGCGUAGAGAUGUGGAGGAACACCAGUGGCGAAGGCGGCUUUUUGGUCUGUAACUGACGCUGAGGCGCGAAAGCGUGGGGAGCAAACAGGAUUAGAUACCCGGGUAGUCCACGCCGUAAACGAUGAGUGCUAAGUGUUAGAGGGUUUCCGCCCUUUAGUGCUGCAGCUAACGCAUUAAGCACUCCGCCCUGGGGAGUAC